CUUCCAGAUGAACGCUGCAUGCUGCUUCCAUGAUAGUCCUAUGUACCAGCAGGUGAGAGAGAGAGAGAGCAUCAGUAUCAUCAACGCACCACGGUCUUGUCGUCGUCUCCACCAGUUCCCCGCCUUGGGUGCUGCAGCGUGCCCAGGCACCCCGAGCAUGGCGUCGCGGCGGCCUGAGCCUGCGCCCACCGACGGCAGCCUCCAUGGAUACGAGGAACGGGUCUGGUUGCUCUCACUUAUGCAUACCAGGUGCUUAAUGGAAUUACCCAUAAAAAGAACUAUUCUUUACAUUGAUCUACUGUGAGGUCUGUAAAAUAGAUUUCUUUCCUAUCAAGUAAUUAAUUUUGCUUGUUUGCUCGACCUUCGAUACACUUAGACACUAGCUGUGCCUUCUAAAUUAACUGUAUUUGUUAUUACUGUAUGUGGUUUUGGAGGUUUCAGGGCACAAUUUUUUCAAGAAUUGAAGGGAUCAUAAUCUUCCUACAAUAUCUCAAAAAGUAUGCUUGGAUGCUGAGAUUCAGGUACGAAGACACUUCAGUUGUUUUUGGUUGUUUUCACUUUAGGGGGCAAAUGAAUGACGAUUCGCAAUUUACUUCUGUUCAACUAAUCUUCUUGUCUUAGUAAAUACUGUAGUGUUCCUGUACUGUUGAAGAAUCUAGAUCAUCGUGAAUUAACUCUCCUGUGCAACUUUCACAUAUCAGUUAUCACAUUGACUGAAGAAGCAUGUGUUGUGUUCUAUCAUUUUUUAACCUGAAAAAGGAAAACUUCUGCAACUGUAAUCCUAAGUAACCUGAAUCUGCACCAUGUCAAUGUCAAUUACUAGCUCUUACGGUUAUUUCCUUCUUGAUAUAUAUAAAAAACACAUGCAGGUCUGAUUGUUUCCUUGUCGAUGAAAUUCCUCAUCCCUUGGCAGUUGAUGUAUGAGCUGCUACUUAACAAGUGGGUGUAGGCUGAUAACGUGUGAUUUGGUGCACAGGUGUUGCGAUUAGCUGGUUGCUUGGCAUUUGUGUGCCCAGGUAGGAUGUUGCUCGGCGAGGCAUGCAGCAAGGGCCCUGGACCGAUAAAGAUCCCCCUUUUUAUUUCUACGUCCUUGAUGUAGCAAGAGCCCCUUUUGAUGAGCCUGGUCUCUAUAUUUUGGAUUGCUCUUCUUUAGAUUAGUCAGUACCCUCUUAUCAAAAUGGUGGUGAAUGUAGAUAGGCUCACAAUGUUAUUUCUUAUAUGCGUGUUGUCCAUUUGUAUGGCCCUUAGAUUGACAUUAUUCAGAAGUUAUAGAAAACACCAUGUUAGUUUAUAGACAUUCCAUUGAAAAAUUGGUUGUUGACUGUCUUACAAAUUAUACAAGAGCAGAUGAGUAUAAUAUCUUUGUGAUGCGGGAAAUAUGACUGAUGUGUUCAGAUUUCAGGCGGAAGGUCGGGAUCCAAUGGAAGGGAGCACCCUCCCUCCAUCUGGCUCGACCCAGAGGGAGCACAUUAUGGGCAUGAUCUAUCCAUGUGGUGCUGGGCGUACAACAUGAUGCAUCCGUGUCUCCCCUCUGUUGCAUAUAUAGGCUAGGACUGCACAUGUCACAACACGGAUUUUGUAAUGAAGGAGAACACUACAUGAUCGGCUCAAUUUCCCUCCAUUGUCCGGUGCACAUGUUUUUUCAUGGGCUUCAAUUAUCCUAUUUCUCCCAGUCGGCCCGCACGAGGAGGCAGCCUAUAGGAGGAUGGGCAAGCCUCCAACACGAGUAGUAUUGACCUUAUGAUAGCAAGCAAACUGGAGGAAAGGAGGCAUGAUGGGAGAAUCUGAUGGGACGGACUAGAACCAUUCACGCGCCUAAGGUUUGGCAAGCUGCAAGCACUACCCAGGUUUUUGAGGUCUUGAUGAAAUCUUUCUAAUUGCAUUGAGUAAGCUGAGUGUUUUGUGUUUAUUUUGAGUCUGACCGAGGGACAAGUGUAUAUUUAAAUGGCUAACAUUUGAUUUUGUAGUUAACUUUAGUGCUGGACUGCUGGUCUCAACAUCUCAAUUACAUCCGCAUCAAUAGCUUAUUUAUAAUUAAGAUGUAUGUUGUGUGUGUAAAUGCCAAAAAACCCCGAGGUACAGGUGCUAGAUUCUUUGGGGUGCUGCAUUUGGACGAAAGGACUCAAAACUAUUGUACAUUUUUUCUAACAUAAAUAUAUGUUUCUCCACUAUUAUUCUGCA
This is a long non-coding RNA of Panicum virgatum (switchgrass), 2181 nucleotides long. RefSeq lists it as uncharacterized. The record is from RefSeq and is a predicted model, not a curated record. The transcript has 4 exons. Lineage: Eukaryota; Viridiplantae; Streptophyta; Magnoliopsida; Poales; Poaceae.